This 482-nucleotide ribosomal RNA is filed under the name uncultured bacterium. RNAcentral describes it as "bacterial SSU rRNA". It matches the Rfam family "Bacterial small subunit ribosomal RNA", at positions 501 to 985 of the family's 1533-position model. The record is from RNAcentral.
CUACGUGCCAGCAGCCGCGGUAAUACGGAAGGUCCAGGCGUUAUCCGGAUUUAUUGGGUUUAAAGGGUGCGUAGGCCGUUUGAUAAGCGUGCUGUGAAAUAUAGUGGCUCAACCUCUAUCGUGCAGCGCGAACUGUUGAACUUGAGUGCGUAGUAGGUAGGCGGAAUUCGUGGUGUAGCGGUGAAAUGCUUAGAUAUCACGAAGAACUCCGAUUGCGAAGGCAGCUUACCGUAACGUUACUGACGCUUAAGCACGAAGGUGCGGGUAUCGAACAGGAUUAGAUACCCUGGUAGUCCGCACAGUUAACGAUGGAUGCUCGCUGUUGGCCUAUUGUGGUCAGUGGCUUAGCGAAAGCGUUAAGCAUCCCACCUGGGGAGUACGCCGGCAACGGUGAAACUCAAAGGAAUUGACGGGGGCCCGCACAAGCGGAGGAACAUGUGGUUUAAUUCGAUGAUACGCGAGGAACCUUACCCGGGCUUGAA